CCUGUCUUCUUCAACAGCUCCCACCCCCCGGCCCCUGCCCAGCCUCCCCUACCAGGCUCGAUGUAAAGUGAUGGUGAAGUGAAAACAGAUUUGGGGCCCUUGCCACCUCUUUCUGGUUGGUAACUUUGUUUCUUGGACAACAAUGCAGAGUUUGAAGCCCAUCCAGGGACAACAUUCCAUCUGCCCCCUGCAAGUUCCGGUGCGGUCUUCGCUAAGAGGCCAAGCAAGAUGAUGUAAUCACCUGAUGAGUUCCUCCUGCCCACUGCACAGACAAAACCAAUUCACUGAGACGACGGCAUUGCAAUAAAGAAAGAGCUUAAUUGACACAAGGUUGGCCACUCCUGUCUCAAAUCAAAUCAAUCUGAAAAUUUGGAGGCUAGGGUUUUUAAAGGAUACUUUGGUGGGCAGGGGGCUGGGGAAUGGGGGCUGCUGAUUGGUUGGGGAUGCAAUCACAGGGUUGUGGAAAUUGGUCCUUGUGCACCAAGUCCACUUCUGGGCGGGCUCCCCAGGACCGGCUGAGCCAAGAGUUGAAGGUCUGGGUGGGGCCAUCCGGUCAUCAGAAAUGCAGGUAAAGACAUCUCAAAAGGCCAAUCUUAGGUUCCACAAUAGUGAAUUGGGACAGUUGCAAAUCUUGUAUCCUCUGGAAUAAUGGCUGGUUGUCAUUUAACUAUGCCUGCGUCUUAGCGAAAUUUAGGCCCCUCUCAUCCUCCUAACCUGGUGGCCUUUCUUUUCUUUUCAUUUUUUUUUAAGAAACAGGUUCUUACUCUGUCCCCCAGGCAGGAAUGCAGUG
Molecule: long non-coding RNA, 790 nt
Filed under: Homo sapiens (human)
Lineage: Eukaryota; Metazoa; Chordata; Mammalia; Primates; Hominidae
Description: non-protein coding lnc-TESC-2:1
Source: RNAcentral